CAGUAGCCGCGGUAAUACGAAGGGGGCUAGCGUUGCCCGGAAUCACUGGGCGUAAAGGGUGCGUAGGCGGGUCUUUAAGUCAGGGGUGAAAUCCUGGAGCUCAACUCCAGAACUGCCUUUGAUACUGAAGAUCUUGAGUUCGGGAGAGGUGAGUGGAACUGCGAGUGUAGAGGUGAAAUUCGUAGAUAUUCGCAAGAACACCAGUGGCGAAGGCGGCUCACUGGCCAGAUACUGACGCUGAGGCACGAAAGCGUGGGGAGCAAACAGGAUUAGAUACCCCUGUAGUCCCUGUCUCUUAUAC
RNAcentral lists this ribosomal RNA (301 nucleotides) under uncultured bacterium. Its description in RNAcentral is "partial 16S ribosomal RNA". It matches the Rfam family "Bacterial small subunit ribosomal RNA", at positions 509 to 807 of the family's 1533-position model. The record is from RNAcentral.